Taeniopygia guttata (zebra finch) is the source of this 7095-nucleotide long non-coding RNA. NCBI's taxonomy places the organism in Eukaryota, Metazoa, Chordata, Aves, Passeriformes, Estrildidae. The record is from Ensembl.
UGGCACCGCAAAGCAUAAUUUCCUAGGACCUCAUACUCAUGGCAUGCUAAGUCACACUGAUUCCUGUUCUAGGUGUGCAGAGAUGUGUCAAGUUUUGAAGACACAGAGGAUCCUAAUAAAUACCCACAAAACAGCUGUUCCUCAGAAAGUGCUAUAAGUAGAUAUAAGAAGCACUGAGAUACUCUGGAAAAAAUAAAUUGUAUCCUAAGGCAGUGAUGCUUCAAACAUGUGCUGAAGCCCAUAAAAAUAAGUUAAAGGCUGUGUUGACAGACAGGAUGAAGGAAAAAUCUGUUUCUGGGAUUAGUAGUUACAAAAAGUCUUCCAGAUCCUGGAGUAAUCAUAGGAUGAAAUUUCCAGAUGGCUCACCAGGAUCAUAUAAGACCAUGCAAGAAACACACAUUCCUAAAGUUAUCAGGCACAGCAGAUCUUCUGGAUAAAUGGUAUCUCAAGGAUACUCCUGAGAAUCGUCACAUGAAGGUGGCACCCAAAGUCUUCUCCAAAUGAGGAUCAGCUUCUCCCAGACUGGUCCAAAUUUCCUCACCUUCCAGGAAGCAGGAGGAGUGAAAACUGCUUCUUGCCCUGCACGUCAGCCAGGUCAGCAGCCCUCAGCGUGGGCAAACCCACACCAGUGUGGACAUACUGAGGAUCUGUUUGGGGCACUGCUGUAAUUUGGCCCCAGUGAGGAACUGGUGUAUGAUUGUGAGAUGCCCCAAACCAUCUCACUUCUGCCCUGCUGCCAGCUGGGUUCAUCUGCUUUUAUGAGGGUGAAGACACUUGGUAAGCUCAAAACAAAGCACAAAGUGCCAUCAGGGAGCUCCCCCUCCCACAGGGAGCUGGAAAGACAGAACGCCUUCAGCUGUGAUCUUCCUCAGGUUUAAGUGUGAAACUCAGGCAUUAGAGCAAGUGAAACCUGGCAGGAGCCAUGAAAAGCAAGCUGGACACCUCCCCCAGAGCAGCACCGGAGCCUUUCCAGGGCCAGCCCAGGCUGAUGGGCGGCUCCAGCAGCGCUUCCCCGCUCCCAGCGCUGGAAAAGGCGGCUUCAGAUGAGAGAAAUCGGGAAUCUGACCCAAGGGUUUGCUGAGCCAGCCCUGGCCUAAAGCCAAGGAAAAGUGGCAACAGCUACUAGACCAGGAAGGUUGGGGAAAUAUAUAUAUUAUACAGGGGCUGUUCUGCCCCUGGUAUAAUGCAACAUCUGCCUUCAUGCACAGAGGAAACAAUUCAGAGAGGACAGAAGGUUCUCUGGUUUAGGACACAGCUGGAGGACACUGGACCAUGGCACCUCCCAAUGUCCAACAGCACUUAACCCCAGCCUUUCCCAUGACAUGAGGCCAAGUUUGAAAGCAAACUCGCUGGAAACAAUCACCAAUGCUUGCUAAGCUCGUGUUAAUUUGUUAAACAAACAGACAAACAAACAAACAAAGGCAACCCAAAGAACUUUCAGCCUUCUGUCCCUGCCUGACCAGCACAGAUGUAGUCACUUCCUGACAGCAAGAAGAGGCACAGAGACAUGUCCCUGCAGCAAGGCAGGUGCUAGGAAAUGGGGAGCUUUUGUCUACUUCCCUCAUGGUAAUUCACUACAGGAGCAAUUAUUUUCAGUAAAUAUGGCACAGAAAAUCCAAGUGAGGAGAAACCAGGGUUUUCUCUCUCCAGCAGCCAGGUCCAUGCAUUGCUGCACACGUGCAGCUGGCACAGAGGUGGAGCCUGCCAAUCUGCAACCAUCCCCUUUGGAGAGAGUGAUUUCCCAUUCAGGUACAAAACAGAUGCAAGAACCAGCCAGGCCAGUGCUCUUGGCUGCUCACAGAACAGCCUUUAAGGGCUGAAUGACAAGCUGUAGAGCAGAUGUUCACCCCUGGCAGCGACUCAGCCAUACUGCUCUGCAUGGUUUUGCUUUUUCAGCUCUGGCCAAAAAGGAUGCCUAUUUCCCCACACUGUGUGAUGGAGAAGAGACUGAACCUGGCUGUGGGGUAUUUUCUAACACACUUCAGCAAACUCCCCCAGUAGGAAACGGAGUGCUUUACUGGCAGUUCAACAAUGCCUUGAGCACCUCGAACACCAUCCCCUGGAUGACUGACACUGAAUCCCAGGAACAAGGCAGCCCUAACCAUCAUUGGAUGAGUCAGGCACCACUUACAAAAGGCUUUUGGAGAGUGCAAAGGCAGAUUUCUGGAGAAACUGAAAGGGGACAAAAAAGCCAGCUCUGCUGCUCUUCACACGCCCCAGCAGGCUGCAAGCACCACUUUUCAAAUAGUUUAAAAGGAAAAAAAAAAAGUGAUUAAUUUUUACUAAUAUAUGACAGUUUGAACUGGAGUAAAGUCAGAGUCACAGAACUUAUCUGACUCAGGAUACAGCAUCUUUCUUAAAUAUACACACUUGAAGAUGAAUCACACUUGUCUCAUAAGGACAAUUCCUAAAUUUGCUCUCCUGUAACUGUUCAGGGUUCCCAUUCUGCAAUAGAAGAUGAUGUCACUGUUUACAUAAACAAAGGCAAUGGUGCUCAGAUCAGAUCUAGGCAGUCUCUUUCCUCUUAAAGUUAGCAACCACGUCUACUUUCUUACAAGGCUGGGGAGUGUAAGAACUGGCCAGGGCAUAAAUAGAACCACAGACCAAAAAAAAAUGUGCAAAAGCGACCCAAAUCACAUAUUUGACACAGAUUUCUUUUGUUCUUAGAAAACUGGCCAUAUUAAAAGUGAUGUAGCUCUCAUUGCUCUCACUCUGUCCACAGUAGGAAGAUUAAACUUCUGCACAGGAGAGUUGCAACUGAAAAAUAUUGUCAUUACACUGAGCACAAAUAGGCUUUUCUUGAACAUUGAGCAUGCACGUGGCCUCCCCUCUCCCCCCAGCUUACAUUUUAUGAGAUUUUUGACAGUCAGAGAAAACUCUCCUUCCAUAUGUUGAGGAUGUUAAGAUUUCAACCUCUUUGCAGCAGGAAAAUAAAGUCAUCUUCUUUGCAGUGCCACAGCACUGAGCACACACAGAGCACUGACACAGUAACGCAUGAACUGAUCUCUGCCAUUGCGGAAAACUGCAGGGAUCCGGAGCAGGUCUUGUUCCUGUCAUGUCUGCAGAUGCUCUGUUAGGGACUCCAGGGACAUAGAGCAAUUACUAGGGUUUGUUUCUGCUUUCCAGGAGCAGUUCUGUUUAGGAGAGAAUAGAAAGGGAUUAUUUUUACCUUAUAGUUUGGACUUACAGGGUGUGAACUGAAUUUUUCUUCCCACAGAGAGACAUCAUGAACAAACUCUUCCAGUGCCCUGUAACGGGGCUGUUCCUUCUCAGCAGUGCCCAAAAGCCCAAAGGCUAAUGAGGGUGACAGGCAGGGCCCAAUUAGCAGCACAGGCACAGGGAUGGCUGCCUUUAGGCCACACACUGAGUCUAAAGGGGUUUUUUCCUUUUCUUUUGGGGGCUUUGUUGGUUUGUGGGUUUUGCUUUAAGUCUAGAAAGUUGACAUCUGCUUCUGGUAAAAUUGACAAACAAUUUUAUUUGUCAGCAACUGUAGAUUGAAACAGUACUGAGAAGUGCAUUGUCUGGGUCUGCAGGACUGUAGGAAGUACCGAUGAAGCAUUUUCCCCUGGCAUGUGUACAGAGAAAAAAACAUUUAAGUGGAGAUAAUUUUUUCCAUAUAGAUUAUGUACAUCGUUAUACACAAGUGAGAAUUAGACAAAACAAAACUAGAACAAAGAUUCUUUUAUGUUUUAAAAGGAUCUUUGUCUCUCAGCCAUAGGGAUGGCUCAAGCCAAGCUCCAUGGAUGAGACAACGAAUGAGGCAACAGAUGCAUCAAAGGCACCUCACUCACAGUACAGUUUAGCCAAGGCAAGAGCCAGACCACGCAGGGGAUGUGUUGGCACCACUGGCAUCCUUGCUACAGCAGAGAAGAUGUUCCCAGCUCUUACCUUCUCCUGAUGCAGGCAGGCUCAGGUGCACCCUCGACUGUGCCCUACACAAGUCCUGGCACUGGGGCCAGCAGAGCUGCUUUCCCCGGGGGCUCUGCCCACCCUGCAGUGGCACUAUGCCCCCAUGGCAGCGUACCCAGCUGCAUUCUGCAACCAGAUCUCCAGCAAGUCCCAUCCCACCAUGCUUCCUGCAGCUGUGACUGCUCAGACCAAAGACUGCUUCCUGGACACCUUAGUCACCAGAAGGGUGUCUCCACUUAAGAUCCCCUGGCAGCUAUUUUAUUGUUCUCCUGCCUAAUGCUGCAAACACAGCUCCAGGUCACCUCUCUGUUGCAACAGGCAGGAGAAAUCUUCUGCAUUCGGGACAAGGGAAGCCCAUGGACCUGGUUCUUAUGGUGGAAGGUGCCCUGCAGGGGUGGCAGGAAGGCUCAGGUCACAGCAGACCCGUGGGUCAGUGCCAGGAAGGGGAUAAGAAUGGAGCAGGCUUCCCAUGAGGUUCAGGCAUAGGGCAGGAAGGCAGACAUUGUCUGUGAGGCCCCUCUCCUGCACAGUGUGUUAACCAUUAAUCAGCACCUUCCCUCUCGCUGCCCCAGGGUCACACAGGGCAGCUCCCCCUGCCCCAGGCAGCAGCUCUGGGGGCUCUCCACCACCACGCUGGCUCAGGGAGGCAGGCAGCAGCCACCAGCAGAGGAUGAGGAUGCUCUUUCAAGGCUGGAAGAGUACUUUUUCCUUCUGUGGUAAAACCCAGAACAUCCUUGCCAGACCCAUUUGACCCUUCCCUUCCUGAUGUGCCCCCUAGCCCAUGCCUCUCCCUUGCAUUGCGUGGGAAUGUUCCCCAAAACACACUCUUUUCCCCUCAUUUCCUUCCUCUCAAGACACCUGGAGCUUCCUCCUGCAGGCUCCAGCCACCCCUCGUGCUGAUCCAGGCCAGGUCAGGCUUCCCAGGCCACCAGCUCAUUGUCCAGGAAACCAAAACAACCCAACACCCAGCUUGGGGCUGCAGGGGGGACAUGCUCAGAGACAACACAGCCACCAGGGCCUCUAUGCUCUGAGGAUGACAAUUUAUUUCAGCAAAACCACCCUGACAUAUCUGAGGAAAAACAGAAGUGGCAACUACCAGCAAGGACACCUCCAGGAAGGCUGUAGGGGAAGUAUUUCCCACCACAAAACAGGUUUUGAAAUGUAUUUGAAAUUUGUGAUUUGAGUCUCAAGCUGUUAGUGAAAUAUCCUUGCUCAAACAAGUCAGUUUUGCAUGCAUUAAGCAACACAGCACAGAAACAGAAGAAAAAAAAUCCUCUCCAGCUUCAAUGCCAGUUUAAAAGUUAUUGGGAGGCAGCCAAUAUAUUUGGGGAAGGUUUUUAAACACCAUCUUUCACACUAAGAUUCCUCAGCAGAGAUCUGUGCACACAGUACACAUUACAAAUGACAACUCCAAGUUCACUCUUCUAACACAUUGCAUUUUAAAAGCUUAAAAUACCUUUACCUAAAUCUCUAUCCUGUUAAAAAUGCACUGAGAGGCACAAAGCUUUAUCCCACUAAAACAGAAUGUAUGGAUAAGUGGAGUUUCUUGCUCUGCUCCACGAUCAUUUGAUUCAGGAAGCCAUGCAAACACAGCUUUGCUGGUUCAUUGAAUGUGCACUCUAAAACAGAAACUCAUCACAGAAUAUUCUGAGCUGGAAGGGACCCACAAGGAGCAUGGAAUGACCCAUACAGGGAUCAAACCCACAACCUUGUGUAACGGGCACCUGCUCUGACCAGCUGAGCUGACCUGUCCCAGAAUCAUUGCACAGUUUGGACUGAAAGGGACCUUAAAGAUAAUUUCAUUUCACCCCCCAGCCAUGGGCAGGGACACCAGCCAUUAGACCAGUGGCUCAAAGCCCCAUCCAGCCUGGCCUCAAAUACUUCCAAGGAUGGGACAUCCAAAGCUUCUCUGGACUACUUGUGCCAAGGCCUCACCACCCUCACAGGGAAGAAUUUAUUCCCAAUAUCCAACCCAAGUCCAUCUGUUAACACGCAUGUUAACUCCAGCUGAAAGCCCACGAGGCAGGCACAGCACACUGACAGCAGGAGCCAGAUGCUGCUCUUCACUGGUGGGCGUGCACAGCCUCCUCAGAUGGUACAGCCACUGCUGGGCUCAGCUCUCUCCCGCUCUGGACACUGGCAGACACUGAGGUGCAAUCACCUGUGAAGCACAAUCCACACCACAGCAAACCACCUCAGCCUGGGACAGCAGAGAGCAGCACAGGGCUCUCAGCUGGAGGGAAGCAAGGCCAUUACAUGUGCCUGGGUCUGCAGCCAUCACCCAUGGAAAGAGGCCACCUCACCCUGAGAGCUCCAUAAACACAGCGCUGAGCCUGAGCUGCCUUUGAGCAGGUGAGAUACUGCAUGCAGGACUAGGCAGCCACAGAUUGCCCAAGGAAGGCCUUUCUCACAUUUCAGUCAGCUUCUUUUUAUGGCUUUUCAGCUUUCAUUAGUGAGAAGCAGGAAGAGUGAAGUGGAGAUGUCCCCAGCCAGGGCUAACAGGAUGUGACUCUGCCCUGAGUCAUCUUCCUCUUUCUCUGCAGUGGAGAUGGCUGCUCACACCUGGGUCAUGGACACCUAUGGCCACACUCAUCAGGACAAAUCCACUGCUUCCCAAACUCACACUUCAGAGGUUGCAGGCAGCAACCUUCACAUCACACAGUUAGAACUUGAUAUUUUCAGAGUAUCUUCACAACCAAAAGGACCAAAGAACUCCAAAAUGUGCUCAAAAUCUAACAAAUUUUUAAGUUCAAAGCAGUUUUCUUAUGAAGUGUCUGAGCUAGCGGAUCACACUGAGGUCUUACUUAAGUCCAAGAAAUUAAAACAUUAAGCCACACAGCUGCAGAAUAUGACUAAAUACGCAAUUAUUGUUCUCUAUUUUACAUCUGAAAACUUAUCAUAUUUGAAUAAUCUCUAGUGAAAUGUAUUUCAUGGGAACUGGAAACAAUUUGCAUUAAAUGAACCAAAUGAACACCACUGUUAAUGAGUCCACAUGCACACGAGCAGAACUGAGGUGCCUCAGCUGAGAAUUAUCUCUGCCAAUACUGUGGCUCAUCUUCCAUCCUGACAAUCUUACAACAAAGAUUUCCCAGAUACAUUUCCCUGCCCAUCUAAGGCAGGCAUGCAGUAGCAGGGACUUCUCACAGACUCACAUUCCAAGGAGAUGCAACAUCCUACACAUCUGAC